UAUACCCCACUUAAUUCUUAAUUUACCCUUAUUAUAAUUUUUAUCAUAUUUCAUGCCCCCACCUAUAAGACUUAUAAAAAUUAUUUUUUAAAAAAAUUCUCAUAAUCGCCAUCGUAACGAUGGAAAAGAAUUUAAUAGUUCUAGUAAGGAUUCGACCACGAACCAUGCCAAGCCAAUCCUAAAAAAUCAAAGUAUUAUGCUAAGUCUAUCAAGCGAAGGGUGAGUAUAGAAAUACAAGAAUUUAGCCAAGGGGGUAGACAUGAUAAUUCUGGUUAGAAUUUCCUACAAGUGCAGCUGUGGAAUUCAUUCUUUACAAUUGCAAUUCAUGGAUUCCAUUGUGGUGUGUCAAUAUUAAUAAGUACUUUCCAUAACCUUCUUCAGCAUGGGGAUGUGUGGUGUUUACAAAUUCGAGAAAGUAUAUAUUUAAAAAUUGUACUUUGUUUCAAUUUGCAUUGGCUUUUCCAGUUCUUUGAGUAUCUUGACUGAUUGUUUUUUGUUUACAAAUUGGAGAACUUAUGUAUUUCAUCAUAGUUGUAAAUAGUCUUCCAAGUGUUUGUCAUUUUUACUGAAUGAAUAAAAUUAUUAGUUUCAUUCUCUAUAAAAAUGAUCAUUACUGUUUUUUUGUUCUAUGUAUAACAUAUGAAGUUUUGCAACUGCCGAGCAGAUUUUGACCACCAAAGUGACCAAACUUCUUAAAUAAGCAUGCAUUAUGAAUCUAUCAAAGUAGAAGUAGGUUCAAAAGCAGCUCUUGUAACUCACAAUAAAUACCGCUAAACCAAUAAUCAUGUAAUAGAAGGACUAUCCUGAUGGCUUUUUGUUUCAUCUAUGAUGGUUGUGGGGAAUUUCCAUUUCUCAAGGAUUGUUCGAAGAUGUUUUGUUUGAACGUUUAACAAAGCAAUUGUUGGCAAUAAUUAGAGAUUUGGAAAAAAAUAGCCGACCGUCCAAACAUGUAGUCAGUUAAACGUGUCAUGGACUUGACUUGAAUGUUUCUUGGCUUUUUCUUAGAGAUGUGAUAUUUAACCCCCUUAUUAUAUCUCACCAACCCUAUUUAUCAAUUAAUCCUAUUAAAAAAUUUAAAUUAAUUUUUAUCUCUUAAUAUACCCCACUUAAUUCUUAAUUUACCCUUAUUAUAAUUUUUAUCAUAUUUCAUGCCCCCACCUAUAAGACUUAUAAAAAUUAUUUUUUAAAAAAAUUCUCAUAAUCGCCAUCGUAACGAUGGAAAAGAAUUUAAUAGUUCUAGUAAGGAUUGGACCACGAACCAUGCCAAGCCAAUCCUGAAAAAUCAAAGUAUUAUGCUAAGUCUAUCAAGCGAAGGGUGAGUAUAGAAAUACAAGAAUUUAGCCAAGGGGGUAGACAUGAUAAUUCUGGUUAGAAUUUCCUACAAGUGCAGCUGUGGAAUUCAUUCUUUACAAUUGCAAUUCAUGGAUUCCAUUGUGGUGUGUCAAUAUUAAUAAGUACUUUCCAUAACCUUCUUCAGCAUGGGGAUGUGUGGUGUUUACAAAUUCGAGAAAGUAUAUAUUUAAAAAUUGUACUUUGUUUCAAUUUGCAUUGGCUUUUCCAGUUCUUUGAGUAUCUUGACUGAUUGUUUUUUGUUUACAAAUUGGAGAACUUAUGUAUUUCAUCAUAGUUGUAAAUAGUCUUCCAAGUGUUUGUCAUUUUUACUGAAUGAAUAAAAUUAUUAGUUUCAUUCUCU
RNAcentral lists this long non-coding RNA (1693 nucleotides) under Citrus sinensis (sweet orange). Its description in RNAcentral is "long non-coding RNA (CSIN_LNC005377)". The record is from RNAcentral. Lineage: Eukaryota; Viridiplantae; Streptophyta; Magnoliopsida; Sapindales; Rutaceae.